This 1818-nucleotide long non-coding RNA is filed under the name Lathyrus oleraceus (garden pea). Its description in RNAcentral is "Pisum sativum (pea) long non-coding RNA (PSAT_LNC009997)". Lineage: Eukaryota; Viridiplantae; Streptophyta; Magnoliopsida; Fabales; Fabaceae. The record is from RNAcentral.
ACAUAUGUGAGAGGUGUGAAUUGAAUGUGCUUGGGCCUUAAGCCCAAGCUCCACACGGCAAACCGGAUUCAGGCCAAAGCAUCUAAGCCAAAACACAAAACACUCAGCAACAUGAACAAUGAACAUUUCACCACCAUCUUCAUGUUCCCAUGAUCUCACACUCUCACUUCAAAUGUUCAUCGAAAAAUAUGAACAAACGAAAUGAAUCUGAAUCAGUGCCUAAUCAUCAUCACCAAAAUCCAAUUUCAAUUUGAAUUCAUCAUCAUCGGAUCGAGUUGCAAAAUCCAACACCGAAAUCAAUUCACAAUCAAAUAGUAUCUUACACGCGGAAUUGAAGAGAAUCGGGGAUGAAACAAAGAAUGGAUUGUUCAAGGGAGUUGCAGCGAUAAUUGAAGCAAGACAUAGAAGAAUAACUUACCGAAUCGAAAUCCUGACACGGUGGCUCUCCAGCGAAUCGCAUGUACUGAAUUCUUCUAUUUCCCUCUGCUCUUCUUCAAUUUCACUUCUGCAACCUUCUUCUUCUCUGCAACUGCUUGGCUUGAUUGUCGCAUGAAUGAAUGAUUCGAGAGAGAAUCAUAAGAAAUUGGAGAGAGAAUAGUGAAUUUGUAGAGUGAAUGCGAGAGUUUCUGAAACGUGACUCUGACAAUCCAAAAAUUGCAGUGAAGUGCUUAUAUAUAAUUCUCGAUUUAACAGAGUGAAACUCUGUUAAAUCUUAGAGGUUUUGAUUAGUUAACUAUUAAAUAUUCUAUUACAUUUAAGUUAACUCAAUUAGUUAGCAAUAUGAAUUCAGUUGCAAUGCUUACGAUUUUAUGUGUGCCUAGCUAGGUUAGUUAUAAUGAAGCUCCAUUUCGUGUGUUCUGUUAAAAAGAAUUCUGCAGGUGGAAUGCAUUUUGAGUUUUUCUGAUAUAUUUAAUUUGCUGCUGCUUGGCCAUGUUAAUGUGAGCUACUUGGAGUAUGUUAUGAUCCAACUUCUGUUAAUUGGAGGAGUCUUAUUUUGCUCAGUUAGAAAAUUACAAGUUGAAUUUGUUUCUAAUUUUUUUGUGUUAUGAAUUUUCAACUUGAGUUUCUUUGCAAAUGAUAAUGUGAUUAUGUUGCUCUUAGAAAACAUGGCCUAUGUGGAAUGUGGGUAUGUAAUUGUUAUUGAGUCUUUGAAUUAGUGUAUUAUGUAGGAAUCAUGUAUUGAAUUACUUGAUUGAAUUAUGGAUGAGAUGCUUGCUAACCUUGGUGAACUUGUACUGUAAUGGAAAGUUUGAAUGAAGAAUGAUAUAUUUGAAUGGUGAUUAUUGUGUCAAGCUAGUGAUAUGAUGCAAUUUUGUUAAUUGUGAAGAUCAAAUUAACCUAUUAAUUAUUUCAACAAAUUGCUACGCACUGGUUAAAUGAAUUUAAUGAGUAAUUGGUAAUUGUUAUCUUAGGUCCCUUCAUUCAUGUUAGUAAUGAAAAAAAAAAGAAUUUUUGUUGAUUAUUGUGUUAAAAUAAGAUGUAUAUUGAACAAAUCCAUGGCAUAUGCUUGGUGAUUAAAUUGUGUCAAAUGUGAUUUUAUAGGUUUAGGCAUGGCAUUGAGGAUUGACCAAAGUGUAAUAUCAAGAGAUGAAUCAAAUGACUGCGGGCUUGAAGAUCAUGGUGAUUAGGACUUAGGAAUAAAUGAUCGACUUUGGUCAACUAGUUGACCAAAAAGUUAACAGUUGACCAAAGUCAAAUGUAGGUUUUAGACUAGGGUUUUCUUGAUGUAAAAGGACUUAUGAAAAUGUACAUAUGACUUGUAAUGUAAAAAGGAUCUUGAUAUGAAAUAAAAUUUGAUUUUCUACUUAGAUGAAACAA